Molecule: long non-coding RNA, 614 nt
Organism: Malania oleifera
Lineage: Eukaryota; Viridiplantae; Streptophyta; Magnoliopsida; Santalales; Ximeniaceae
Exons: 2
Source: RefSeq, a predicted model, not a curated record
GUACCUAGGAUGCCCAGAAAGCAACAUCUAUGACUUAAAAGACAACACCCACCCCCCCCCCCUCCCAAUCAAAUUAAAGACGGUCAAAAAUCUCUCCCCAACCCAAUACCUUGUCUGAGUUGUCUCUCUCUCUCCCAAACGCACGCCCACACUCUCUCUCUCUCUCUCUUUGGGGAGAGGGAAGAUGUUAGGGUUUAAGAUGUCCCCUGUAAGUCCAUCUCCAGCUUGCGCUGGCCGUGGCCUUGUCUCCUCCAUUCUUCCUGCUGGUCCUCACGCCUCUGUCAAGAUUUCCCAAAGAUGGUUUCUGCUGAAAAGGUUCAGAGACGGCAGAAGUGCUUCCUGUAAGGAUUAUCCUUUAUGUGCAUGCUGUAAGGAUUAUCUCUUGUUCCAACAUCACACGUUAAAAGAUUUUCUGACCUGAGUGUGGUUGGAGUUUUACGGGUUGACACUCAGCAGGGUGGAAUAGGGAAUGAAGCCAUCGGUCCGUGUAGCGUAAUAUUGAAAUUCUGUAAAGGAUUUAGGUAGUUUGAACAAAUUAAAUUUUUUUGGAUCACAGCUUUAGCGCUGAACUUGCUUUUGUUCUCUUAUGAAUUUUGUGCCAUUAUCCAUUAUAA